AUGAAACUGUUCACCCACCAUGGGCUGAGUGUGCAUGUGCAGGGAGUGGGACCCUGUGGCUUCCCCUGUGCCUCCAUGACACCAAGGUUCCUAUCUCCCUGUGGAGUUCAACCUCCACUUCGUGGUUUGUGUGAUACUCAAAGUGGAGUGAGUGGCCAAUACCUUGCCCCUGAUCAAGGAACCUAAAGGGCUGAUUGAGGGAUAUGAGAAUGAUGCAGUUUCUGAGGAAGGUGAACCAUGUGCUUCUGGAGGUGGAUGUAUUGGAGGUUGCCCUGCAAUGCCCAGAGUCCGGACAUCUGUACCCCAUCAGCUGGUGGGAUCCCCAACAUGCUGCUGAAUGAUGAGGAAACA
This 351-nucleotide long non-coding RNA is filed under the name Homo sapiens (human). RNAcentral describes it as "non-protein coding lnc-MTRNR2L13-14:1". Lineage: Eukaryota; Metazoa; Chordata; Mammalia; Primates; Hominidae. The record is from RNAcentral.